This 257-nucleotide long non-coding RNA is filed under the name Vigna radiata. Its description in RNAcentral is "long non-coding RNA (VRAD_LNC007509)". Lineage: Eukaryota; Viridiplantae; Streptophyta; Magnoliopsida; Fabales; Fabaceae. The record is from RNAcentral.
UUUAAAUACAAUAAUUACUUGUAAUUAAAUAUUAUUCAAAAAAUUUAAUUAUACAAAAUAUUUAAAAGAUAUCUCUUCGUAAAAGACAGAUAUAAAAUAAAUUGGUUUAAACUUCUUUUUGGUCUCUAAGUUAUGAGCGGAUGUUCAGUUUAGUCCCCGCUUUUAAAAAUGUAAACCUUUGAUUCCUAAGUUAUAAAAAAUGUAUCAAAUGAGUCAUUUUUUGAUGUUCAUGAUCAAAGUACAAAGAGCAAUUUAAA